This 393-nucleotide ribosomal RNA is filed under the name uncultured bacterium. RNAcentral's name for it is "partial 16S ribosomal RNA". It matches the Rfam family "Bacterial small subunit ribosomal RNA", at positions 523 to 918 of the family's 1533-position model. The record is from RNAcentral.
AUACGGAGGAUCCAAGCGUUAUCCGGAUUUAUUGGGUUUAAAGGGUGCGUAGGCGGACUGGUAAGUCAGAUGUGAAAGUUUGCGGCUUAACCGUAGAAUUGCAGUUGAUACUGUCAGUCUUGAGUGUGCAUGAGGUGGGCGGAAUUUGUGGUGUAGCGGUGAAAUGCUUAGAUAUCACGAGGAACUCCAAUUGCGAAGGCAGCUCACUGGGGCAUAACUGACGCUGAUGCACGAAGGUGUGGGUAUCAAACAGGAUUAGAUACCCUGGUAGUCCACACAGUAAACUAUGAAUACUCGCUGUUUGCGAUAUACAGUAAGCGGCCAAGCGAAAGCAUUAAGUAUUCCACCUGGGGAGUACGCCGGCAACGGUGAAACUCAAAUGAAUUGACGGGG